This is a long non-coding RNA of Pseudoliparis swirei, 745 nucleotides long. RefSeq lists it as uncharacterized. Lineage: Eukaryota; Metazoa; Chordata; Actinopteri; Perciformes; Liparidae. The transcript is spliced from 2 exons. The record is from RefSeq and is a predicted model, not a curated record.
CACUACAUGUCCUCCAGCUCGCCUGACAAACUGAAGAGAGACAUUUUUCCUCCUCUAGGUCACAGGAAGGCGAGCGUGUUUAUUGUCCUCCAGCUCGCCUGAAGAACUGAACGAUUCUUUUCCGCAAAGAGAGUUUUUUGGGCUUUUGGACCACUCUUAUCUCCUCCAGGCUGCUUUUGAUUUCGCUCAUGGCCUGGAGAAGAUGGCCCUUUUCUUUUUGCCACUGGAGCUGUUGACCGUUGGAUUGAGUCAAUGACUCGGUCAGCGCAGCCUGCAGCUGAUUGCUCGUCUCUCUUUGAUCACAAAGAAGCUGGCCGGCCACUGCAGGGGACAGCUCUCUGGGUGACCUCCAUCGGCAAUGAGGUCGCCAAGAUACUGAACAGUGUCCUGACGGUGCAGGAGCGGCCGGGACUGGACGUGAUGGUCUCCGGAGUGUCUGUUGGAUGGGUACCCUAGAACUCGCAGGAAUACAGGACUGGUACCUCUGUAGUAUCCUUAAGAGAGGCAGCGGCCCCCGAGGGCCACCAGUAUGUACGAUUCCCGUCAACAUACUGUAGCCUUGUGUCCGGGUGGAGUUGGCCGAACUUCACGUUGAUCCACAUCUCCGGUGGAUGACGAAUCUCAAAAAACGUGCACGGGUUCUUAUUUUCUCCUCCUCCCCCUUUAAGGUGGUGGAGGAGUCUGAGUCGCUUGCUCCUUGACCCCGAGCCAAUGAGCGGUUCAAUUGUGUUUAGAUUAGAAUACA